RNAcentral lists this ribosomal RNA (328 nucleotides) under uncultured eukaryote. Its description in RNAcentral is "partial 18S ribosomal RNA". It matches the Rfam family "Eukaryotic small subunit ribosomal RNA", at positions 1470 to 1796 of the family's 1831-position model. The record is from RNAcentral.
CCCUUAGAUGUCCGGGGCUGCACGCGCGCUACACUGAAGGAAUCAGCGUGCUAAAACCAUUGUCGAAAGGCAUUGGUAAACCCAUUAAAAUCCUACGUGAUUGGGAUCGGGAAUUGCAAUUAUUUCCCUUGAACGAGGAAUUCCCAGUAAGUGUGGGUCAUAAGCUCGCGUUGAUUACGUCCCUGCCCUUUGUACACACCGCCCGUCGCUGCCCGGGACUGAGCCGUUUCGAGAAAAGCGGGGACUGCUGCUGUCGGGGCUUUCGGGCCUUGGCUUCGGUGGAAACCGCUUUUAUCGCAGUGGCUUGAACCGGGCAAAAGUCGUAACA